AGCGAACGCUGGCGGCAGGCCUAACACAUGCAAGUCGAGCGCCCCGCAAGGGGAGCGGCAGACGGGAGAGUAACACGUGGGAACGUACCCUUUGGUUCGGAACAACCCAGGGAAACUUGGGCUAAUACCGAAUAAGCCCUUACGGGGAAAGAUUUAUCGCCGAAGGAUCGGCCCGCGUCUGAUUAGCUAGUUGGUGAGGUAACGGCUCACCAAGGCGACGAUCAGAACCUGUUCUGAAAGGAUGAUCAGUCUCACUGGGACUGGGACACGGCCUGGAGUACUAUGGUUGACAGCAGUGUGGAAGAUUCGAAAAUUGGGGCAAGCCUGAUCAAGCCAUGGCAUGUGGGUGAUGAAGGCCUUAGGGUUGUAAAGCCCUUUCGGCGGGGAAGAUAAUGACGUUACCCGCAGAAGAAGCCCCUGCUAACUUCGUGCAAGCCGCCGCCGUAA
Molecule: ribosomal RNA, 447 nt
Filed under: uncultured bacterium
Lineage: Bacteria
Description: partial 16S ribosomal RNA
Rfam family: Bacterial small subunit ribosomal RNA
Source: RNAcentral